GGGUUGUGAGGUUAAGCGACUAAGCGUACACGGUGGAUGCCCUGGCAGUCAGAGGCGAUGAAGGACGUGCUAAUCUGCGAAAAGCGUCGGUAAGGUGAUAUGAACCGUUAUAACCGGCGAUGUCCGAAUGGGGAAACCCAGUGCAAUUCGUUGCACUAUCGUUAACUGAAUACAUAGGUUAACGAGGCGAACCGGGGGAACUGAAACAUCUAAGUACCCCGAGGAAAAGAAAUCAACCGAGAUUCCCCCAGUAGCGGCGAGCGAACGGGGAGCAGCCCAGAGUCUGAAUCAGCUUGUGUGUUAGUGGAACGGUCUGGAAAGUCCGACGGUACAGGGUGAUAGUCCCGUACACCAAAAUGCACAGGUUGUGAACUCGAAGAGUAGGGCGGGACACGUGGUAUCCUGUCUGAAUAUGGGGGGACCAUCCUCCAAGGCUAAAUACUCCUGACUGACCGAUAGUGAACCAGUACCGUGAGGGAAAGGCGAAAAGAACCCCGGCGAGGGGAGUGAAAAAGAACCUGAAACCGUGUACGUACAAGCAGUGGGAGCACCUUCGGGUGUGACUGCGUACCUUUUGUAUAAUGGGUCAGCGACUUAUAUUCUGUAGCAAGGUUAACCGUAUAGGGGAGCCGCAGGGAAACCGAGUCUUAACUGGGCGUUAAGUUGCAGGGUAUAGACCCGAAACCCGGUGAUCUAGCCAUGGGCAGGUUGAAGGUUGGGUAACACUAACUGGAGGACCGAACCGACUAAUGUUGAAAAAUUAGCGGAUGACUUGUGGCUGGGGGUGAAAGGCCAAUCAAACCGGGAGAUAGCUGGUUCUCCCCGAAAGCUAUUUAGGUAGCGCCUCGUGAACUCAUCUUCGGGGGUAGAGCACUGUUUCGGCUAGGGGGUCAUCCCGACUUACCAACCCGAUGCAAACUACGAAUACCGAAGAAUGUUAUCACGGGAGACACACGGCGGGUGCUAACGUCCGUCGUGAAGAGGGAAACAACCCAGACCGCCAGCUAAGGUCCCAAAGUCAUGGUUAAGUGGGAAACGAUGUGGGAAGGCACAGACAGCCAGGAUGUUGGCUUAGAAGCAGCCAUCAUUUAAAGAAAGCGUAAUAGCUCACUGGUCGAGUCGGCCUGCGCGGAAGAUGUAACGGGGCUAAACCAUGCACCGAAGCUGCGGCAGCGACACUAUGUGUUGUUGGGUAGGGGAGCGUUCUGUAAGCCUGCGAAGGUGACCUGUGAGGGUUGCUGGAGGUAUCAGAAGUGCGAAUGCUGACAUAAGUAACGAUAAAGCGGGUGAAAAGCCCGCUCGCCGGAAGACCAAGGGUUCCUGUCCAACGUUAAUCGGGGCAGGGUGAGUCGACCCCUAAGGCGAGGCCGAAAGGCGUAGUCGAUGGGAAACAGGUUAAUAUUCCUGUACUUGGUGUUACUGCGAAGGGGGGACGGAGAAGGCUAUGUUAGCCGGGCGACGGUUGUCCCGGUUUAAGCAUGUAGGCUGGUUGUCCAGGCAAAUCCGGAUAAUCAAGGCUGAGGUGUGAUGACGAGGCACUACGGUGCUGAAGUAACAAAUGCCCUGCUUCCAGGAAAAGCCUCUAAGCAUCAGGUAACAUUAAAUCGUACCCCAAACCGACACAGGUGGUCAGGUAGAGAAUACCAAGGCGCUUGAGAGAACUCGGGUGAAGGAACUAGGCAAAAUGGUGCCGUAACUUCGGGAGAAGGCACGCUGGUGUGUAGGUGAAGUCCCUGCGGAUGGAGCUGAGACCAGUCGAAGAUACCAGCUGGCUGCAACUGUUUAUUAAAAACACAGCACUGUGCAAACACGAAAGUGGACGUAUACGGUGUGACGCCUGCCCGGUGCCGGAAGGUUAAUUGAUGGGGUUAUCCGUAAGGAGAAGCUCUUGAUCGAAGCCCCGGUAAACGGCGGCCGUAACUAUAACGGUCCUAAGGUAGCGAAAUUCCUUGUCGGGUAAGUUCCGACCUGCACGAAUGGCGUAAUGAUGGCCAGGCUGUCUCCACCCGAGACUCAGUGAAAUUGAACUCGCUGUGAAGAUGCAGUGUACCCGCGGCAAGACGGAAAGACCCCGUGAACCUUUACUAUAGCUUGACACUGAACAUUGAGCCUUGAUGUGUAGGAUAGGUGGGAGGCUUUGAAGCGUGGACGCCAGUCUGCGUGGAGCCAACCUUGAAAUACCACCCUUUAAUGUUUGAUGUUCUAACGUUGGCCCCUGACCGGGGUUGCGGACAGUGUCUGGUGGGUAGUUUGACUGGGGCGGUCUCCUCCCAAAGCGUAACGGAGGAGCACGAAGGUUAGCUAAUCCUGGUCGGACAUCAGGAGGUUAGUGCAAUGGCAUAAGCUAGCUUGACUGCGAGCGUGACGGCGCGAGCAGGUGCGAAAGCAGGUCAUAGUGAUCCGGUGGUUCUGAAUGGAAGGGCCAUCGCUCAACGGAUAAAAGGUACUCCGGGGAUAACAGGCUGAUACCGCCCAAGAGUUCAUAUCGACGGCGGUGUUUGGCACCUCGAUGUCGGCUCAUCACAUCCUGGGGCUGAAGUAGGUCCCAAGGGUAUGGCUGUUCGCCAUUUAAAGUGGUACGCGAGCUGGGUUUAGAACGUCGUGAGACAGUUCGGUCCCUAUCUGCCGUGGGCGCUGGAGAAUUGAGGGGGGCUGCUCCUAGUACGAGAGGACCGGAGUGGACGCAUCACUGGUGUUCGGGUUGUCAUGCCAAUGGCACUGCCCGGUAGCUAAAUGCGGAAGAGAUAAGUGCUGAAAGCAUCUAAGCACGAAACUUGCCCCGAGAUGAGUUCUCCCUGAGACUUUAA
RNAcentral lists this ribosomal RNA (2807 nucleotides) under Klebsiella pneumoniae. Its description in RNAcentral is "bacterial LSU rRNA". It matches the Rfam family "Bacterial large subunit ribosomal RNA". Lineage: Bacteria; Pseudomonadati; Pseudomonadota; Gammaproteobacteria; Enterobacterales; Enterobacteriaceae. The record is from RNAcentral.